Molecule: RNA transcript, 1202 nt
Organism: Cornus florida
Lineage: Eukaryota; Viridiplantae; Streptophyta; Magnoliopsida; Cornales; Cornaceae
Gene name: origin of replication complex subunit 6-like
Exons: 6
Source: RefSeq, a predicted model, not a curated record
AAGCUUCUAACUUAUUGCUUUUCCUUUGUUGGUUGGCAGUUCUGUUUCAGAUUAUCAGGACAGCCACUGGUGGUGGGGCGUUGGCCCGAGGAAAUGGGGUAGGAAGUUUUGUCGAUAAUGUGUCAUCAACUAAUGGCCAAGCUCUCAGCAAUAUCAUUCUCUUCUUUGGAGCUCAGAUUUCUGUUUGGUUACCUUCCCAGUAGCCAGUAAGUCUAAUAGAGAGUUCAUUCCGGUCUCAAUGAUGGCAAGGUUGGUGAGCUUGUCUAUGUUUUGAAUGGGGCAUGUGGUGGAGCAUGGACAGGCUUCUCAUUGGAGGCCUUUCAAAAUCUGUGGGGGUUUGUUAGGUUAUCUCUCGCAUCAGCUGUCAUGCUCUGGAAUCAGCUUGUUAUGAGAGAAUUGGCAUGGCGUUCUACUUGUGUGCAAAAAGACCCAAGCUCAAGGUAGACAAAAUUAAGUUAAUCGAACUCUGUGGCACAUCAGAAUCUGGAUUUUCCAGUGUCUCUACAUCCAUGAAGGACCUGUGUCGUGAUGUUUUUGGAAUAUCAAAGGAAACGAAAGAUCCAAGAGAUGUGAAAGGGAACCGUGGCAUGACUUGCUUUGGUUUUUUUAAGCUUACAACCUUCAAAUGCAUAUUCCAGUGCUCUUCAUGUGAUUUAAAUUGCUAGAUGCAUUGCCUGAGAGAAGAACAUUUGAGGAUGAUGGUUAUUUGUCUGAUGAUGCAAAAGAGGUACUUCACAACAACAUCAUCUUUAAUCUUGAUUCUUAUGAUUUAUUUGCUAAAGCACUUUUUUCAAUUUUUUUUUUUUUUCUUUUGGCCAUUUACUUUAUAAAGCGUGUUCUUUUUGGUGUUAGUAGAUGGUAUCAGUACUAAUCUUACUUAAGAUAUACCUCUCUGCCGGGAAAGUAAAGUACCAGGUGCACACGCCUGAGUUCCUGAGUAAGCUGCUAGUGUAGUUUGGAUUGAGCCAACCUCCUCCCGAGGAUGCUUAGGUGACUGUAUUUUGAUUGAGAUUUGAGUUUCAGUAUUGAUGUCUUUUAAUGAAAUCCUUAUCUCUUAAAUACUUGCUUUAUGUUGAAAUAUAUGUCUUGUUAAUGUAAUGGAUCUCAGUUUUAUAAGCUUCGUGAAGUUUGAUGAGUAUAUCUAACUCAGGAAUUGCAGUGGAAACUUCUUUCCCGGAAGUUCUCCUUUUCAUUUUUCAGCA